GCUGUCCUAAUAACAGCCACCCUUUACUGAGUGCACACCAGGGGCCAGGCACCCACUAAGCACCUUAUUUAUUUCAGUUCCAGCCUCAGGACAAUCCCCCCAGAAGCUACCUUGCUGUACCUAUUUAAUGGAUGAAGAAGCUGAGUCGAGGAAAGGUUAUCGAGCUCCCACGAAGGGGCUCUGGCGAGGCCUUUACGGGCUGCAGGAGACUCAGAGAACGGACAGCCAUGGCCCCUCCCCACCCAGAGCCCGCCAGAGGACACCACAGGUCUCCAAAAAGCCCAGAGCCCAGAGGGACAAGAGUGGCCCACAGCAUCCUCACCACCCGCCUCAGCAUUUCAGCUCUGACGCAGGCCGGCAGGGUCGAGCCCCAGGCACACAGAGAAAGGCCAGGAACCGUGGCUGGGAACCCACCCCACCGCGGCGCCCUCCGCGGCCCCACUGGAAGGAGGAAAGGGGUGAAUUCUCGUGAGAAUUCUGAUAAAUGGGCUCCUCCACCCCUCCCCCUCCCCCAAUUAAAGCGAAGCUGUCCGAGCGCCGAGAUGCAGAAACCACUUCCAAGCCAGGUUCCUAGAAGCCGGCGACGCUGCAACAAGUGGAACCUGCUGUUCGCGAGCCUUGGGCCUGCAGCCACGAGGGAAACCCGAGACAUAGGCAGAAAUGGAAGGCCGUGCACACUUCCGUCCAAGCGUUUGGGACUGUGUUGCUUGACUGUGUCAUUGCUCACAGUACACCUGUGAUUCAUUGAGUCUCAGAAUUUUAAAAAAAUUGUAUCAAAGUAAUAUGUGCACAGUUUUUAUAUUUUAAAUCAAUUUGUUUAAAAGAACGUUUAAAAACAGCAACAAAACUGAUUUCCUGCUGUCCUGCUCCCCAUCCAUCUUCCCAUCCUUGCCCCCUGCCUGCUUCUGCUCCCCAGAGGCGAUAACCACUGUCAGGUGCUAGUGCCCUCUCUUUCUGAAUAAUGUGCUUAUGCUGCUAUGUCUUUAUCCAUUUUAGACAUCUGAUGGCUUCUUCAUACGGCAAAUGAGAACUUAGCAACUUCGCACUGCUCCCCUUUUUACUUUUUUCCUCUCUCAUCCUUCCAAUAUAAUUAUAUUUGAGUAAAGCAAUAAUCAGGUAGUAUUCUGACAAUAAAAAUAUUGCUGUAACCUUGUCUCCUAGAUCCUGUGUCCUCUCUUUCUUGAUUUACCUCUUUGUCUUGCUGGAACACCUCCUUCAGUACCUUCCUGAGAAAGGGUACAUUUUGAAUUUGGUAAGGUAUUGAAUUCUAGGUUAAAAAUCAUUUUAAAAGGAUCGCUCCCUUGUCUUCUAAUUUGUGGAAGCUGUCAGACUUCUCAAGACACCAUUUCUAUUCCA
Long non-coding RNA from Equus caballus (horse), 1356 nucleotides. The record is from Ensembl. Lineage: Eukaryota; Metazoa; Chordata; Mammalia; Perissodactyla; Equidae.